UACACUCCUGCGGGAGGCAGCAGUGGGGAAUAUUGGGCAAUGGGCGCAAGCCUGAUCCAGCCAUGCCGCGUGAGUGAUGAAGGCCCUAGGGUUGUAAAGCUCUUUCACCGGUGAAGAUAAUGACGGUAACCGGAGAAGAAGCCCCGGCUAACUUCGUGCCAGCAGCCGCGGUAAUACGAAGGGGGCUAGCGUUGUUCGGAUUUACUGGGCGUAAAGCGCACGUAGGCGGACUAUUAAGUCAGGGGUGAAAUCCCGGGGCUCAACCCCGGAACUGCCUUUGAUACUGGUAGUCUUGAGUUCGAGAGAGGUGAGUGGAAUUCCGAGUGUAGAGGUGAAAUUCGUAGAUAUUCGGAGGAACACCAGUGGCGAAGGCGGCUCACUGGCUCGAUACUGACGCUGAGGUGCGAAAGCGUGGGGAGCAAACAGGAUUAGAUACCCUUGUAGUCCCAUGA
Molecule: ribosomal RNA, 452 nt
Filed under: uncultured organism
Description: partial 16S ribosomal RNA
Rfam family: Bacterial small subunit ribosomal RNA
Source: RNAcentral